GGGGGCCCGCACAAGCAGCGGAGCAUGUGGUUUAAUUCGAAGCAACGCGAAGAACCUUACCAGGGCUUGACAUCCCUCUGACCGGUGUAGAGAUACAUCUUCCCUUCGGGGCAGAGGAGACAGGUGGUGCAUGGUUGUCGUCAGCUCGUGUCGUGAGAUGUUGGGUUAAGUCCCGCAACGAGCGCAACCCUUAUGUUUAGUUGCCAUCAGGUAAAGCUGGGCACUCUAGAGAGACUGCCGGGGUCAACUCGGAGGAAGGUGGGGAUGACGUCAAAUCAUCAUGCCCCUUACGUCUUGGGCUUCACGCAUGCUACAAUGGCCGGUACAAAGGGCUGCGAUCCCGUGAGGGGGAGCGAAUCCCAGAAAGCCGGUCUCAGUUCGGAUUGGGGUCUGCAACCCGACCUCGUGAAGCCGGAGUCGCUAGUAAUCGCAGAUCAGCACUGCUGCGGUGAAUACGUUCCCGGGGCUUGUACACACCGCCCGUCACACCACGAAAGUGGGCAACACCCGAAGCCGGUGGCCUAACCCUUGUGGAGGGAGCCGUCGAAGGUGGGGCUCGCGAUUGGGGUGAAGUCGUAAGCAAGGUAACCGUAAGGGC
Molecule: ribosomal RNA, 598 nt
Filed under: uncultured bacterium
Lineage: Bacteria
Description: bacterial SSU rRNA
Rfam family: Bacterial small subunit ribosomal RNA
Source: RNAcentral